This 2031-nucleotide ribosomal RNA is filed under the name marine metagenome. RNAcentral describes it as "bacterial LSU rRNA". It matches the Rfam family "Bacterial large subunit ribosomal RNA", at positions 14 to 2129 of the family's 2925-position model. The record is from RNAcentral.
AGGGCACACGGUGAAUGCCUAGGCUCUCAGAGGCGAAGAAGGACGUAAUAGGCUGCGAUAAGCUACGAGUAGGUGCCUAUAACCGUUCAGUCGUAGAUUUCCGAAUGGGGCAACCUAUUCAUUUUAAUGAAUGAUAUAAUCGCAAACCUGCCGAACUGAAACAUCUAAGUAAGCAGAGGAAGAGAAAAUAAUAAUGAUUUCCUGAGUAGCGGCGAGCGAAAAGGAAAGAGCCCAAACCUAUGUAGUUUAGGCUAUGUAGGGGUUGUAGGACCGUAAUGAUGAUAUGUUUGGUGAGUGGAACUAAUUGGAAAGUUAGACCAUAGGGGGUGAUAGUCCCGUACACGAAGCUAGAUAUAUUUGACACGGUAUCCUGAGUACCGCGGGGCAAGAGGAACCCUGUGGGAAUCUGCCGGGACCAUCCGGUAAGGCUAAAUACUCCUGAGAGACCGAUAGUGAACUAGUACCGUGAGGGAAAGGUGAAAAGUAUCUCGAAUAGAGAGGUGAAAAGAACCUGAAACCGUGUGCUUACAAGCGGUCGGAGCCAAUUUAUUUGGUGACGGCGUGCCUUUUGCAUAAUGAGCCUACGAGUUGCUCUUCACUAGCAAGAUUAAGUGCUUCAGGCACGAAGUCGUAGCGAAAGCGAGUCUGAAUAGGGCGUUAAGUUAGUGGAGGCAGACGCGAAACCUUGUGAUCUACCCAUGAUCAGGUUGAAGCUCUGGUAACACAGAGUGGAGGACCGAACCAGUUGACGUUGAAAAGUCUUUGGAUGAAUUGUGGGUAGGGGUGAAAGGCUAAUCAAACUAGGAGAUAGCUCGUACUCCCCGAAAUGCUUUUAGGAGCAGCCUUCGGUAUAAGUGUUAUAGAGGUAGAGCUACGAAUUGGGUAAGGGGGCUUCAUCGCCUACCGAACUCAGAUAAACUCCGAAUACUAUAACAUGUUCCCGAGGAGUGAGGGCAUGGGUGCUAAGGUCCUUGUCCGAGAGGGAAACAACCCAGACCAUCAGUUAAGGUCCCUAAAUCUAUUCUAAGUUGAGCUAACGAGGUUCAAUUGCAUUGACAGCUAGGAUGUUGGCUUGGAAGCAGCCAUUCAUUUAAAGAGUGCGUAACAGCUCACUAGUCGAGCGAUUGAGCAUGGAUAAUGAACGGGCAUAAGAAUAGUACCGAAACUAUGGAUUGCAGUUUACUGCAGUGGUAGGGGAGCAUUCUAACAUCAGUGAAGAUGUAUCGUAAGGUAUGUUGGAGAGGUUAGAAAAGAAAAUGUAGGCAUAAGUAACGAUAAAGCAGGCGAGAAACCUGCUGGCCGUAAGACUAAGGUUUCCUGAUCAACGCUAAUCGGAUCAGGGUUAGUCGGGACCUAAGACGAACCGAUUUAGGGUAGUCGAUGGACAACAGGUUAAUAUUCCUGUACCAAGUAGAGAGGACGGAGAUGGCGAGAUGUUGCGUACUGACGGAAUAGUACGUUGAAGGGAGGCGUGAGCCCCUGAUAGUACCACGAGUUUUCGGAUGAGUGGAUAAUGCAUCAACCGAUCUUCCAAGAAAAGCCUCUACACUAAAGCCCGUACCGCAAACCGACACAGGUAGUCGAGGAGAGUAUCCUAAGGCCCUCGAGUGAGUCGUGGUUAAGGAACUAGGCAAAUUAACCCUGUAACUUCGGGAUAAGGGGAGCCACCUUCGGGUGGCCGCAGAGAAAUGGCCCAGGCGACUGUUUAUCAAAAACACAGGGCUUUGCAAAAACGAAAGUUGAAGUAUAAGGCCUGACACCUGCCCGGUGCUGGAAGGUUAAGGAAGGGGGUCAUCUUCGGAGAAGCUCUUAACUGAAGCCCCAGUAAACGGCGGCCGUAACUAUAACGGUCCUAAGGUAGCGAAAUUCCUUGUCGGGUAAGUUCCGACCUGCACGAAUGGUGUAACGAUCUGGGCACUGUCUCAACCAUGAGCUCGGUGAAAUUGUAGUAUCGGUGAAGAUGCCGAUUACCCGCAGUGGGACGAAAAGACCCCGUGAACCUUUACUAUAGCUUAGUAUUGGCUUUGGAUA